AUUGCUGGGAGUUAUUGGAAGUGCCUGGGGGCUUUCUGCCUGCAGCAGGAGGCUGCUCAGCUCACACCCUGAUUUUUGGGGGCCACCGCAGUGAUGGUGCUGGGCUUCUAAUCUGAUUUUUUUGGUUGCUGGUUUCUGCUGGCCUCCUUUGCCCUGUUUUUUUGGAGCCAGCUGUUGCUGCCAGGCUCAGAGCUUACUUUUCUGGGGCAAGAAUAAAGUUGCAGUUCCUGGGUUCUCAUGCUUUUUGAGGCUAGUGCAUGUUGACUGUGCAGUGCUUUUGCAGACUGAUUUCCAGCAGGGAGGCUGGGGUGGAGUUUGUGGGUGCUGCAGCUCCUCCUGCUUGCAGUGAUGGAGGGUGAUGGCUGUAGCGGGGCCUCUUGCAGUAAGGAUCAGCCCAAAUCUGUGAGCAGUUCUGGCAGCGAUGGGACCAUGGAGGCUGAGUGCUAGGGAUCCAGGGGUGUGCACUCCUUCCCCCACCAUGGGGUCUACUUCUGAGUGUCAUGCACUGGGGGGCUCCAAGAUAGUAAGGAUGCAGCAGAUACAUGAGAAGACUUUCACGAGCCUUCACAUUCAGAAUACACUGAGGGAGAUGCUGACUUUAUGUUGCUUCUGACUAAGGAGAACAUCAUUGGAAGACUAGCAGAGUAGAAAAGUAUUUCAGAUCCUCAGAAGAAACUGGAACUUGGUCCUCAAAAGAGGUGAAAAUUCCAUCAAGUUCAUUUUUUUAACCAAACCGACUUGUCCCUUCUCAUAUUUAUUUAGAGAGAGAAAAAGGAAAUACUUAGGCUUGAGCUGUUCUGACUUUCUGUAUGUAAUGGAUUAAGGCACUAUAUUCAUACUUAACCAGACUCCUUCCGCCAGUAUAUGCGUUGUGAAUCAAUGCUGUUUAUAUGCAUUGUAUAAUAUACUUUUCAUUCAGGAGGUUUUCUUCUUGUUAAUAUUGCAUCGAGGUUAUUUAUGUGUGAAAGUUGGAAACUAUGAUUAAAAGAAAUGCAAU
Long non-coding RNA from Gallus gallus (chicken), 997 nucleotides. The record is from Ensembl. Lineage: Eukaryota; Metazoa; Chordata; Aves; Galliformes; Phasianidae.